Molecule: long non-coding RNA, 808 nt
Organism: Chinchilla lanigera (long-tailed chinchilla)
Lineage: Eukaryota; Metazoa; Chordata; Mammalia; Rodentia; Chinchillidae
Exons: 4
Source: RefSeq, a predicted model, not a curated record
UGUUUGCCAAGUUUAGAAGGCACUUAUGCCAAGUGAAGACGAUCCCUUCAUUCACGCAUUCAUUCCGAGCUGUCUGCAGUGGCUCUCUCAGGCCCCAGGAAGAAAGAGACGAAUGGGUUGAGGAUUGAACCCUAGAGGACCACAUAGUUUCACGGGAGAGACAGAAACAGUGAUUGCACAUACGCUGUGACAAAUGUCACUGCAGGUGUGCUCAUGCAGUCCCAGCAGGGGUGUCAAGGGGAGGUCAGGACAGGCUUUGAAGCCAGGCACUGACCUGCCGCCUAAGGCCAUGUCACUUGAGUAGCAAGGGCCACAGGUCAGAUACAGGCAGUCCUUCUCUCCCCCAUAUCCACUCAUGGGCUUCGCUUUGGAGCAGAAAUAAGAUAAAAAAACCUCUCAUCAUAAGGGACGAUGCUUCAGUAUUAGGACGGAGUUCCUCAAACACAGAAAAGCACAAAGCAGGAGUUUUGCAGCAAGCUCUGGUGACACAUCUCCCGGUGGGCAGCUGCCAAUGGUUUUGGGUUGACCAGCAUGGACAACACCAGCCUGGACAGAUAAAGGAAAAGAAGGCAGUGUCUCUGUCUUGGAAGAGGUCCAACCUGUGGCGUCACCUUUGGACGCGGAUCUGCAAUUUCUUCAGCCCUCCAAGGCCGACUCGCACCUACGACUCUACAGUGACCUUCCAGGCUUUCAAUGUUGGACUGUUCCUGGAUCCUGCAGCUCUCAGUACGCAGAUGGCCACUGUGGACUCUUCUGCCUUUGAUCCUGGUUUCACUAUGCAGAUCAGGGCUGGCCUUGAACUCACUUU